UAUUGUUGAAAAAGUGCUGCUAAAUUUUAAACAAGCAAUAGUUUCCUUAGGGAAAGAAUCGGAAAGCCUAAUAAAAGAGAAAAAUAUUUCCCUUCUCAAAAUUGUUUAUUCAAACAAUUGAGAAUAAUAAAAAGAGAAAAAAUAUAGAGGAAAAUAAAGAAUCCAUCUUAAAAUAGCCAGAUUUCCCGCCACCGACGAUUUUUGACGGGAUAAUCGCGGAAUCGGCAGUCCUGAAACAAACUUAUAAACAAAAAUAUUCUCGUCAAAUUGUAAAAUGAGUAAAUACUCCAUUUUCAAUGGAAACGAUGAAGAUGAAAACGAAACGGAACAGAAAUAUGCACACAUUAUCAAUCAGGCGAGUACGAAAAACUUGGUGGCGGAAAACAAUUCCGAAAAAGCCGGUCGCUGCAAGUGGACAGACGGUGAGGUAGAGUUCUUUUUGGGAAUAAUUCACCAACUGAAGCUGCAAGCUCCACUGAAAAGAGCGCCCAGCAGUGCAAAGGUCUUCAGGGUUAUUUCCCGGGAAAUGGGCAGACGCAAUUGUCACAAGAGCCCGAAGCAAUUAAAGAUUAAGUACCAACAAAUGAGACGGCAAUAUACAAUGGCCAGAAAUGGUGGCGAGCCCUUUGAGCAUUUCGAAGCAGUUCACGAGUUGAUGCAAGGAGACGAAGGCUCCGAUCUGGAUGGACAGGAACUAGAAAGUGACAGCGAAGGGGAAGCCGACGAGGAUCAAUCCGGUAUGAUCACGGAAACCGAAGGCGAUGAUGCCUUGGAUGCCUCUGGAUCGUCGAUUAACAUCGUUAGUCGUUGCAGGUGGGCCGAAGGCGAGGUGGACAUCCUCCUGGACCUGAUUCACUCAAUGGGCUUGCGUACAGCUUUGCUUCGAAAACGCAAUGCAAAGGUCUUUAAGUUGCUGGCCAAAGAGAUGGCUAAGCGGAAUUGUCACAAGGGUGCGGACAAGCUGCGCAUCAAGUUCCAGUUGCUGCGCCGGAUGUACAACAAGGCUAAGAACGGCGCCGGGGAUACGUUCGAGCACUUUGAGGCUAUGCGACAGGUCCUGGACCCCACCGAAGAGGAGGCGGCUGCCGCAGAGGCUGAAGCGGAAGCCAAUCUCAGUAGUGCCAGCGAUAGUGACGAUGACAGUGACGACGAGGAUGGUGAUGCUUCUCAAAAAGGCGGAGCACACUUUUGGACUGAUGAAGAGGUGGAUUCUUUUCUACUCAUUAUUCGGGACAAUGGAUUUUUUCGGGCCUUGGAUGGUUCAAGGAAACGUAACUUUCAGACCCUGGCACAUAUUUCCAAUAUCCUAGCCAAGCAGGCCAUCAAACGCACUCCCCACCAGCUGCGCAAUAAACUGAGAUUGCUCUUCAAGCGGCAUCGAGAGGCCAAGGAACACGGCUUGGAUAAUGUAAGGAUUCUACCCCGCCACUUUGAGCUCUUCAAUGAGCUCAUUCAGGCACCGCGGGAAAACCGAAAGAGCGUCAUUCCAAGGCCUACCCGCCAUAACAAACCAUCCCUUGCCAAGACGCAAGGCAACAUGAAUGCUCCGCUGGAGAGUGACAGCGAAAACUCAAGCUCUACCUGUGAUCUCUUAAAAGCGGCUGUCAACAGUGAGGACUACGAGGAUGCAAUGGACUUGGAGGCUGAACCAACACCAAUUGAAGCACUCACAGCCAUCAUAGAAGGUCAAAAGCAACUAUUGACUCAAAUCAAAACCGCCAACGAAAACUUCCUGCGACAGCAACACGAGCAGCAGCAACAAUUUCUGCUACAAGUCUCCGAUAUGAUGCGCCGAGACCGAGAGGAGACCCUGCGCAGGAUCAGUGAAAUGCUUUCCCCGAAAUAAUCAAAAGCCAACUCAAGCUUCUAAAACUUUUAUUGAAUUGAAUUCGAAGUUAUUGCAAAAAGUUUUCAUUAUUUAUAUAUAUUAUAUCUGAUGGACGAGAUGGAAGGGGAGGGAGGAAGCUGGGCUGAGAUAUCGCGAUGAUCGAUGAUGUCGGUGAUCGCGAUUCGAUGGCAGCAUGGCAUGCGGAUGUUGAUGUGGCGCCACCUGUUGCUGGGAUUUGAUGUUGCUGCUGUGACGAUGUGACGACGAUGUUGCUGCUGUGAAAAGAGACAUCGCGACUCCCACUGGCAUACAUAUAACCCUAUAUAUGCCAUAUAUGUAUUUAUAUCUGAUAUAUCGAAUAGAGUCUGCACGCUGACCGUACCGUUAUAAUUCGAAAUUCACGUUGUUCGUUUAUUUGGAAUUCUCAAAUAUACAACAAAAGCUUACACUUUCAA
This is an RNA transcript of Drosophila eugracilis, 2283 nucleotides long. RefSeq lists it as uncharacterized. The record is from RefSeq and is a predicted model, not a curated record. NCBI's taxonomy places the organism in Eukaryota, Metazoa, Arthropoda, Insecta, Diptera, Drosophilidae. The transcript is spliced from 5 exons.